AGUCAAUCUGAGGAGAUCUACCUCAGAUGAAGGUGAAGAAGGCGCCAAGUAAGUCCUUUAAAGAGUUUUCACCGGAAGCAGCAUCUGAGAAUCAGGAAGCAGAGAUGUUGGCAGGACGUGGCUCUGACAGCAGAUACUUCAUGGCCUCGGCAAGCAGCAUGGACACAGUUUUC
Rhinolophus ferrumequinum (greater horseshoe bat) is the source of this 173-nucleotide long non-coding RNA. RefSeq lists it as uncharacterized. The transcript is spliced from 3 exons. The record is from RefSeq and is a predicted model, not a curated record. NCBI's taxonomy places the organism in Eukaryota, Metazoa, Chordata, Mammalia, Chiroptera, Rhinolophidae.